Molecule: ribosomal RNA, 270 nt
Filed under: uncultured archaeon
Lineage: Archaea
Description: partial 16S ribosomal RNA
Rfam family: Archaeal small subunit ribosomal RNA
Source: RNAcentral
CAGCACCUCAAGUGGUCAGGAUGAUUAUUGGGCCUAAAGCAUCCGUAGCCGGCGCUGUAAGUUUUCGGUUAAAUCUGUACGCUCAACGUACAGGCUGCCGGGAAUACUGCAGCGCUAGGGAGUGGGAGAGGUAGACGGUACUCGGUAGGAAGGGGUAAAAUCCUUUGGUCUAUUGAUGACCACCUGUGGCGAAGGCGGUCUACCAGAACGCGUCCGACGGUGAGGGAUGAAAGCUGGGGGAGCAAACCGGAUUAGAGACCCGAGUAGUCC